CUUGGAUUAUGGGAGAAGCAAGAUAAAAGGAUGCUAAAGGCAGGAGAAGCAAUGGGAGAAUGUCUGCCUGGUGUCCCGUGGUCCCUGUGCAGCUGCUCCUCUCUAUUGUUUCUGUGAAGGGAUCAUGCAAGGUCUGCAAGUCUGCUGGAACCUGGAACACAGCAGCCCUCCUGCCCAGCCACCCCAUUCCUGAGCUUCCUCUCCAUGCAAGAGUCCACUUGUAAAACAAACAACGGGCUGGGAGUUGUGUCUCCCCUUCACCACCAGUAAGUACUUCAUGCAGGUAGAAAAGCCAGAGGAGGAAAAGGUAUUGAAACACAGUAGAAAAAACAAAUGAACAAAUGGAAAUAAUGAGUUGAACUCAGAGGCUCCCAGCUUCAGGAAUCAUUUCUGACACUUGGCAUUUGCCUCCUGCAGCAGAAGCGCGUCUUCGUUGUUUCUCCCUGUUCAAUUCUUCCACUUCUCGAUCCUCAAACUCAUGCAGGGAUUUGAAUGUGUUGGGUGGUUGGUUUCGUUGCUUAUUUUAAUUUUUUAAAACCAUAACUGCCUUGUGCUUAGGAGCCUGAUUAUUUUUCAGCUGGAUGUACAAAUCUCGGCCUCUCCCCGGCCUCUCGUCUUUCUGAUCUUCUACCCUCCACCGCAUGGGAGGGCACAGGUUCCCUUGUGUCCCAGCCCUGCUGCAGCAGGUGGUUAGACAAAACCGCAUUGUCAUUUAUAAACGCAGAAAUCAAGCUCUCUUUCUCUCCCCACCGUUUAUCCACCCACCCCCUUUUUCUGUUCUCUCUCCUUUCUCUCUGUUCCUUUUCUGUAAUGUCAAAUCUAUUCCACUAAGGGGUUGCUCUUUGACUAAUUCUGCCACUUAAUUUUCUAACAUUCAUUCUUGAUUCUCAAGGAGGAAACUCCCAUUUUGAGUGACAUUUCUCGUGACUGAAUGAAUGUGGACCCGUUUCUCAAUACGUCAAAGGAAAGGGUAUUCACAACCUAGCCUUGCUCUCAGGAGGUGGAGCGGGUUUUUUCACUCCCUAGAGGAAUGAAGAGUUGAGCCUGGAAUGUACACCACUGUCCAGCAAACCAGAAGGCCUCUGCAUUCUGCAGGUUCCGCUCUCUGGUCUGGAAAGAUCUCCCAGCAGGUGGAGGCCAUUGUCCUUGGCCUGACCCAGUCCCUGCUGAAGCAGUUAGAGGGCGAGGCCCAGACCUCCUCCAGACUCGGGACAAUCAGUGCCUGGGUUCAGACCCUGGGCACAGCUGGGCCUACUCCAGAAGGGUGUGGAAGGAGGAGAGGUGCAGACAGGAUUUGUCUAAGGCAGCACCCUUAGCACUUUGCCUCCAUCCUUGAUCCAGCCGUCUGGCCUGGCUUUCUUCUCAAUUUCUUUGGCCCUCAGUUUUCUGUUGUGUCUGCACCAGCAUUGCUGACUUUGGCAUUACCGAACCUUUAGCCUUUGGGCCAGCAUGCUCUGAUUUUGGAAUCUGACUUCUCUGCCCUGGACCCUGGGGUUGACAGGUGUUUAAUGAGGUGCACUCUGUUUCGUAAUCUGCUUUUUUCUUUUGAUCAUUAUUCUGAACAUUUCCUCUUGGUUGUUUACUGGACUUCUAAAUAUUAUUUUGAUGGUUGUGUUGUAAUGUAUCAUGAGAUCUCCCCUAAUAUAUUUAACUAAAUACCUUGUAGUUGGACAAUUAUGCUAUUUCCAAAUUUUCACUCUACCGAAUAAUGCCUUGGUAAGUAUUAGUGUAGUGAAAUCUUCACAGUUAUUUUUUAAAACACUUUAAAAUUACGCAUAUUGUAAACAAACAUGUUCUUGUUGAAAACUUCCUUAAAACCGGUAAGACUAAAGUCCUCAUUAACCAGCUUCAAUCGAGUUGUUAUAGCCAUCAUAGAGAC
Molecule: long non-coding RNA, 1879 nt
Filed under: Homo sapiens (human)
Lineage: Eukaryota; Metazoa; Chordata; Mammalia; Primates; Hominidae
Description: HSALNT0081856
Source: RNAcentral